Molecule: non-coding RNA, 418 nt
Organism: Arvicanthis niloticus (Nile rat)
Lineage: Eukaryota; Metazoa; Chordata; Mammalia; Rodentia; Muridae
Source: RefSeq, a predicted model, not a curated record
AUUCACAGUACUUGAACUCCUCUUGUCAACUUUCCUCUCUGUGGGCUAAGCCAGCAUGGCCACUUUGAAAGAUUUGUUCCUCUGUGGCCUGAAGAGCUACAGACAUUUCAAACAAUGGGCUCAGAGCAAAGCACACAGUGCAUAAGAAAAUGACUUAAAAGUUCUGAAAGGAUUUCCACUGCGGGGACGCUAGAGAAUUAGUGUAGCCUGUGUGUGGGAUUCUUGAUUCAAAACAGACCACUGAGAAGUUUUUUUUCUCCACUUCAAUCAAAAUAAAAUGAUAUCUGAAAUUAGAAAAGGAUGGUUCUAGUUGUUACACCCUCCUGGUCUGCCCUCUCACAUUUCCACAUCACAUUCCUCGUUUGCCUUGUCUCCAAGAGUAUUUCUCUACACCCACCCUUAGCCCCCUGCUAGGCCU